Molecule: long non-coding RNA, 240 nt
Filed under: Gossypium raimondii (Peruvian cotton)
Lineage: Eukaryota; Viridiplantae; Streptophyta; Magnoliopsida; Malvales; Malvaceae
Description: long non-coding RNA (GRAI_LNC000030)
Source: RNAcentral
AAAAUUAGUUUUAAUUAAACAAAGCUUACACAGACCAGGAGGCCAUGUCAUCAGGUUUCAUACCUACAUCAACUCCAUCCCCUAUCUCAUCAGGUUUAUGAAGCAACUCAAAAUCUUUGCUUAGCCUGGGUUCCAAUAUUAUAGUCACCUGAGCAAACGACUCCUUGCCCGGUCUCACUACUUCUCCAUCAACUCCUAUUCUAAUCUGAAUGUAAUCCACUCUUCUCUUUUCAGCUAGUC